Molecule: long non-coding RNA, 3941 nt
Organism: Sapajus apella (tufted capuchin)
Lineage: Eukaryota; Metazoa; Chordata; Mammalia; Primates; Cebidae
Exons: 2
Source: RefSeq, a predicted model, not a curated record
CAACGUGUCAAGAAAGGAAAGUGACUGGAUCAUGGAAUAGUUUCUCCCAUGCUGUUCUGAUGAUAGUGUGUGAGUCCUCACGAGAUCUGAUGCUCUUAGAAGUAUUUGGAAGUUCUUCCUUUGUUCUCUCUCCUGCCAUCUUGUGAAGAGGGUGUCUGCUUCUUCUUUUGUCCUGAUUUAAGUUUCCUGAGGCCUCCCCAGCCAUGCAGAACUGAGUCUAUUAAACCUCUUUCUUUUAUAAAUUACUCAGUCCCAGGGAAGUUCUUUAUAGCAGUGUAAAAAUGUCUUAAUAUGUAGCAUUAAGUCUUUAUUUGUCCAUUUUGAUAAAUAUACAUAUUAUUAAACAUCAUUAUUAUUUUUAGCAUCACAAAGAUUUUAAAGAAAACACAAUUUGACUAAAGUUGAAUGCACUAAAAUAGCUGAGCCCAACCAGCAUGUUUUCAGUAAGUCCAUGUUAAACAUGUACCUCUAACUAUUCUACAUUUUAACGUUAAUCAUUUGCAUUUAAACUUUAAAUUUUAGAGAAAUCAUGGGUAUCAGAAAAUCACAUCAAUCAUCCUGUGCUCCAUAUGCCUAGAAAUUUGUAAGUUUCUACCUUUACUUUCUCCCUUUAUAUGCUUCUCUUUUUAUCCCUCCUUCCAAUUCUUUUCUUCCAUUCCACUCUUACUAAACCCCUUUCUUCUUCCUUAUUCUGGCAUAUUCUCUUUUAUUUCUUACUUUCAUUUACAACUUUGUACAAAAAGAAUGUCGGAUGUCUUUCAAGCAUAAGGACAUAAGAUAAGAUGUGCUAACAAUAUAGUUGGAAUCAUUAACUGCUAGAAUAUCACAUAGUAUUUAUAUUAAGUGUUAUAAUACAUCUUGGAAUCUGUUUCUCCGAUAUAUAUCACUCUUAGUUAUUGUUUUAUUUGCUUAACAGGGAAACAAUUACAUUUUACUCUGAGAGUCUAUGUAUCCUGUAACUAUUUAAUUGAUUCUAUUAGUUUUGUGACUCGGUGUGUCUUUCUGUUUUUAUUUUAAUCAUAGCCUUUCUGGACUAAUAUCCAAAAAGAAAAAUAUUUAGUAUUCAAUGUAUAUUUGAGGUGUUCAUGAACAGUAUCAAAAAUAUAUUUGCGUAUGCAAAUAUAGACAGUGAAACAUUUGGAUAUAAGAAGUUCCUAUUACUCUAGUAGUACAUAUCAAUAAUAUAGUUUUCAUAAUUUAGAAACCUGACACACACACAAUGCUUUUAUUUAAUUUUUAGCUAUAAUAUUUUAGAGGAAGAAAAAAUGGAAGAGGAUGAAUGAAUUGGGCAGUUUGACAAACCAAUUGGUGUAACAAUGAUAUGUAUAAUCAACUGCCCUCUUUCAUCAGCAUUCAUCCUCCAAAUUAGCCUGAACCUGAUUAAAUGAUUCUGUGAUGAAGGCCAGUGACAACCUUCAAGUACAUGCCAUGUUCAAGUUUUCAAGAUUUAUGUCUGUCUCUUAGGAUUUACAUUCAGGAAAAAAUAUCUACAAGACAGCGACUAAGCAGAUAUUUAAAAUAAAGCUUGACAUGUUAGUCUAAUUGACUAGACCCAGCAUAGGCCAUUAUUUGGAACAAGUUCCUAUAUGAAUGUUAUUCAUUUAUAUCUCAAAGGUCAAGCUUUCUGAGCAGUUUUCAGAAAAAAAAUGUGGAUGCAUUAAAGAUACACGGGGAGAGUCAAUCUACAAUGCCAAAGAGAUAUAAGUGAUUUUGCUGGUUUCAAAAAACCUACAGUACCCAGCUAAAGGCCCGGGACUCUGAAAUCAUUGUUUUUCAAUGGCUAUUAUUGAGCAUUUGAAUUCUCAUCUAGGUGAUGUUUCCAAAAGCCACUUUGCUAGUAAAAAGCCUCAAAUGGAACUUACUGAAGGUUUCAAAAAACAUAGUUUGGUAAUGCUUCCAGUUAAAAAAAAAAAGAAGUAGUAACAAAAUUAACCAUUCCUAAAAUCAUAAAAUUCAGUUCCAUUAAAACUGUAGUCAGAAUUUCCUUUAUAACUUAAAAUCCAUUAAUAAGAUUUAAGUGUGCAUUUUUAAUUAAAAAUAUUAUCCAAUCAGCCACCAAAGCUUUUAAGAAAUAUUUAAUUUUUACAAUAAAAGGACAUGUAUACCUUCUUUCAGUGUUGUAUUUUGUUAGAAUAUUACAUUUGCUAUGUCCUGAUUAGUUUAUUUUUAAAAGAAAUUAAUUAUGUGAUGAAUACCAUGGAGAAUAAUAAGAAUGAACUUGUCUCCAAAUAAGCCUGCUAUUGUAAUCACCAAAAUUACCAACUAUUUUGGUUCUAUCUUCCAUAAUAAAAAUGGAAAUUGCUGUAUGCGUAUAAAGUAAUACAUCUAAUUAACAUAAGAAAAUUUAUAAAAAGCAUGUCAACAAGUGAAAAUUGAUUUAAUCAAACAAAAUAUAGAUACUCAGUGCAUAUACCAUGGCAAGAAGCUAGAGUAGUAUGGGCUUAAAGAUGAUUUCUUUGAUAAAACUAUUUUUGAAGUAGAAACAGUGUACAAAAACAUGAAGUACAGAAUUAGUGAAAUGUGUUUCGUUGGUACUUGGGAGGCUGAGGGCACAGCAGAGAGAUUUUUGCAGAGAAUUUUGGGUUAACAAGGCUGAGAUCCACAUCUCGACUCUGUUGUUUGGGGUGAUCACAUAAUUAAUUUGACCUUUAACUAUAAAACCAGAAGUAACAGCAAUGUUCACCUUAUGUGAUCAUUUUGAAAACCAAAGUAAAUUCGUAUAUGUGAAGGUCUAUGGUGAAUUAUAAUUCACCACAGCAAGAAUUCUACUUAUUAUUAUAUGCAUGAGUUAAUAACUACCUAGACACUUAUGUAAACACAAAGUAAGAACAACUGAGUAUAAUUUCUAAGAAAAACACUUGUACUUACAGUGCUUGUGAUAAACCAGAAAAGCGGAGUUUAUGGGCAUCAGCAUACAGAGUUCAGCCCCUUAAAUAUUUGAAGGUAAAGGAUUUAGGGACUGGUAAUGUGGAUAUUGUCAGGUAGGUACCUGUGUUUUGGCACUAGGAGUCUAGAAAAUGCCAAAAUCAUCACUUCGAUACAUUUAUUAGUAGAAAUCCCUUCAUUUAUUUAUUUAAAUUGAAAUAAGUAAGUUGUAAAACAAAUGAUGACUGCUCCAAAAAAAAAAUUAAGAUAUCACUAAUAUGUGGAAAGAUGUGCAUUAAAAUAGCUUUAUGAUUAUACAAAUUAUUUAUUCUUUUAAUUUCUAUCAAUCUGAACUUUGCUACUCAGUUCUCAAUCAAUAAGCACUGACAGUAACUCAAGGUAAAAAUUAAAAAUAAAAACUCACAUUUUAAGAAACCAAUAUUAAUUUAGCUAUGUUAUAGAGGUGAAAAUAAUAUUUAUAUUAAUAUUUGAAAAUAUCUGAUACUGUGCCAUAAUGCAUAGGCAGUCUGUUGAACGAGGUAAACAUUGGACUGAGAGUUAAAAAAACCCAGUUCAAGUCCAACCUUUUGAAAUAACUUAUCUCCUGACUUUAGAUAUAUUUAUUGACUUCCAUGAGCUUCAAUUUUGUAGGAAAGAUGGAGGUGAGAAAAUGGAAUUCACUUGCAUCAUGUUGGAAAUUUAUCCUGCUUCUGAGCAUUGUAUCGUUGUAAUGCUUUAGGAGUUAGUUAACAACACAUCUAUUAAAAAUAUGCUGACUUGUGCUGAUAUAGUCGCUGCAGAAAGAAAGAAAAUUCUGUGAAUACCCAUUACUGUUUAUUUUGCCAUGCUGUGAUCAUUUCUAACUAGAAAACAAUGAAGCCAAGGUAAUGAGAAAAUAAAAAUCUGUAGGUGCUGCCUGAUUGCAGCAGGAAGUCUAUUAUACAGCUGAGUAGAGGAUAAGCAAGCUGAUCCACAGCCAACAUAACUCUCCCUAAGAAAGAGAGAAAAAAGCAUAACUCCACUUUCCUCUGUAUGCUGACCAACGUUUGUCUUCUGGUCAUAGAAAAUUACUUUCA